UCUUAGUGGCGGACGGGUGAGUAACGCGUGGGUAACCUGCCUUAUACAGGGGGAUAACACUUAGAAAUAGGUGCUAAUACCGCAUAAGCGCACGGGGCUGCAUGGCCCAGUGUGAAAAACUCCGGUGGUAUAAGAUGGACCCGCGUCUGAUUAGCUUGUUGGCGGGGUAACGGCCCACCAAGGCGACGAUCAGUAGCCGGCCUGGAGAGGGUGGACGGCCACAUUGGGACUGAGACACGGCCCAAACUCCUACGGGAGGCAGCAG
RNAcentral lists this ribosomal RNA (265 nucleotides) under uncultured bacterium. RNAcentral describes it as "partial 16S ribosomal RNA". It matches the Rfam family "Bacterial small subunit ribosomal RNA", at positions 90 to 354 of the family's 1533-position model. The record is from RNAcentral.